UGGACUGCUGCUGAAAGUCCUCCUGCCAGGCUCUGCUCGGCCGCCCUCUGAAGACAGAGCAUCCGGGGAGGGAGAUUUCUCCGUGCUGCUUCCACGCUUUGCGCGCUUCGUUGCCGGCUGCCAGUCCAGGAAGGGGUCCGCUGCAGCCUCUGCUUCCCCUCUAUGCCUUCGCUUGGAGCCUGCCGGGAGCGGUGGCGACCCAGAACCUCCUUCCUCGCUGCUCCCUCGGCUGCGUAGCUCUCGUUUCGCGCUAGCCCCCCGCUUGCGCUUCGCGCCAACUCCCCUGAGCGCCACGGAGCGCGUGCGCGCGUAUUCCACGCGCGCCGCAGACCACUGUUCCACUCCGGCCGCCGGCGCCAAUUUUUUGCUUUUUCUCGUCGCCAGCUCCGGCGCGCUUGCCGGCAGCGCGGAG
RNAcentral lists this long non-coding RNA (412 nucleotides) under Coccomyxa subellipsoidea. RNAcentral's name for it is "long non-coding RNA (CSUB_LNC000347)". The record is from RNAcentral. Lineage: Eukaryota; Viridiplantae; Chlorophyta; Trebouxiophyceae; Coccomyxaceae.